Molecule: ribosomal RNA, 442 nt
Filed under: uncultured bacterium
Lineage: Bacteria
Description: partial 16S ribosomal RNA
Rfam family: Bacterial small subunit ribosomal RNA
Source: RNAcentral
CCUACGGGUGGCAGCAGUGGGGAAUAUUGGGCAAUGGGCGCAAGCCUGACCCAGCAACGCCGCGUGCAGGAAGAAGGCUUUCGGGUUGUAAACUUCUUUUGUCAGGGAAGAGUAGAAGACGGUACCUGACGAAUCAGCCACGGCUAACUACGUGCCAGCAGCCGCGGUAAUACGUAGGUGGCAAGCGGUGUCCGGCUUUACUGGGUGUAAAGGGCGUGUAGCCGGGUUGACAAGUCAGAUGUGAAAUCCUGCGGCUUAACCGCAGAACUGCAUUUGAAACUGUUGAUCUUGAGUACUGGAGAGGCAGACGGAAUUCCUAGUGGAGCGGUGAAAUGCGUAGAUAUUAGGAGGAACACCAGUGGCGAAGGCGGUCUGCUGGACAGCAACUGACGGUGAGGCGCGAAAGCGUGGGGAGCAAACAGGAUUAGAUACCCCAGUAGUC